Molecule: unclassified non-coding RNA, 24 nt
Filed under: Mus musculus (house mouse)
Lineage: Eukaryota; Metazoa; Chordata; Mammalia; Rodentia; Muridae
Description: oocyte_clustered_small_RNA7313
Source: RNAcentral
UAAAUUAGGCUGCUAUGCCCAGGA